Ornithorhynchus anatinus (platypus) is the source of this 513-nucleotide long non-coding RNA. RefSeq lists it as uncharacterized. The transcript has 3 exons. NCBI's taxonomy places the organism in Eukaryota, Metazoa, Chordata, Mammalia, Monotremata, Ornithorhynchidae. The record is from RefSeq and is a predicted model, not a curated record.
GCUGUACGUUAUGUUGAGAGAAGAUCUGUCGCCCCCCCCUCCCUGCGUCCCUCCUCUGCAUCACCGCUCCCCUCUCCUCACGUCCGACCUCCCGCCUCAUGCCAUUUUCCUCCCAAUCUCCCUCCCGCCGCCAUCGAUCACUUCAUGGAAGUCACAGCCAUUCCUCUUGUCUGCCUUCUGAGGACAAGGCAUCUCAUACACCGAGACGACUACCAUCAUUUAUCCCCAACGGACGCAUUUCAAGGAAAAAGACACAGUCCCUACCCCAAGGAGCUUCCUUCAAGAUGCCUCCUGCUGGAGUGAGAUAACUACGGGCUACUUGUUUUGCUGCCAGCUGUCGAUUAUCUGCACUAAUGGAGAAGAGGAAUAGCACUGAAAAUCCAAAAUUGGAAGAGCGGCAUAGACUUCAAAGGGGAGGAAGGGACCCGCUUGAGUCAGACAAGUAAUUUGGUUCAUUCAUUCAUUCAGUCAUAUUUAUUACUGUGUGCACAGCACUGUACAAAGUGCUUGGGA